Molecule: ribosomal RNA, 253 nt
Filed under: uncultured bacterium
Lineage: Bacteria
Description: partial 16S ribosomal RNA
Rfam family: Bacterial small subunit ribosomal RNA
Source: RNAcentral
GACGUAGGUGGCGAGCGUUGUUCGGAAUCACUGGGCAUAAAGCACACGUAGGCGGCCAUGUCAGUCGGGUGUGAAAGCCCUCAACUCAACCGAGGAACUGCGUCCGAUACUGCAUGACUUAAGGUCCAGAGGGGAGAGUGGAAUUCCCAGUGGAGCGGUGAAAUGCAUAGAGAUCGGGAAGAACGCCAGCGGCAAAAGCGACUCUCUGGUCGGAUCCUGACGCUGAGGUGCGAAAGCUAGGGAAGCAAACGGG